GACGAACGCUGGCGGCGUGCCUAAUACAUGCAAGUCGAACGCAGUGGCGGACGGGUGAGUAAGGUAUGGGGACCUGCCCGAUAGGGGGGGAGUACUACUGGGAACCGUGGCUAAUACCGCCUACCAGCGGUAGCACACUUAUGGGAUUAGCUAGUGGGUGAGGUAAAGGCUCACCAAGGCGACGAUCUCUAGCUGUUCUGAGAGGGUGAUCAGCCACACUGGGACUGAGACACGGCCCAGACUCCUACGGGAGGCAGCAGUAGGGAAUAUUCGACAAUGGACGAAAGCCUGAUCCAGCAAUGCCGCGUGUGUGAAGAAGGUCUUAGGAUUGUAAAGUACUUUCGUUAGAGAAGCGUUAUCCAACCAGAAAGCAACGGCUAACUCCGUGCCAGCAGCCGCGGUAAUAC
This 407-nucleotide ribosomal RNA is filed under the name uncultured bacterium. Its description in RNAcentral is "partial 16S ribosomal RNA". It matches the Rfam family "Bacterial small subunit ribosomal RNA", at positions 28 to 526 of the family's 1533-position model. The record is from RNAcentral.